RNAcentral lists this non-coding RNA (24 nucleotides) under Cricetulus griseus (Chinese hamster). The record is from RNAcentral. Lineage: Eukaryota; Metazoa; Chordata; Mammalia; Rodentia; Cricetidae.
AGGUGGGGUGGGGUCUCUGAGCCU